CAGUAGCCGCGGUAAUACGUAGGUGGCAAGCGUUGUCCGGAAUUAUUGGGCGUAAAGGGCUCGCAGGCGGUUUCUUAAGUCUGAUGUGAAAGCCCCCGGCUCAACCGGGGAGGGUCAUUGGAAACUGGGAAACUUGAGUGCAGAAGAGGAGAGUGGAAUUCCACGUGUAGCGGUGAAAUGCGUAGAGAUGUGGAGGAACACCAGUGGCGAAGGCGACUCUCUGGUCUGUAACUGACGCUGAGGAGCGAAAGCGUGGGGAGCGAACAGGAUUAGAUACCCCCGUAGUCCCUGUCUCUUAUAA
This 301-nucleotide ribosomal RNA is filed under the name uncultured bacterium. RNAcentral's name for it is "partial 16S ribosomal RNA". It matches the Rfam family "Bacterial small subunit ribosomal RNA", at positions 509 to 809 of the family's 1533-position model. The record is from RNAcentral.